This 411-nucleotide unclassified non-coding RNA is filed under the name Hevea brasiliensis (rubber tree). Lineage: Eukaryota; Viridiplantae; Streptophyta; Magnoliopsida; Malpighiales; Euphorbiaceae. The record is from RNAcentral.
CUCAAGAUUGAGACCAGCCAGGAUACAGAGAGGAGCGAGACUUUGCUUUUCCAGGCUUUUGAAAACAACAUUAAAGCAACAGAAACCCUGCAAAGAAUCAGCUAUUCUGUUUAUUCCUUUCCCUAUAUCUGGGUUUUGCGACUGGAUACAAAGGUGGAGUCUUUUCAGAGAAAUGAAACUGUGGAGGAUUCAGUUCUGAGUCGGGUUCUCUCGAUUUGAAGAGAGAACUGGAUUUUUUUUUUGAUUUGGUGUGCUAACUGAACCAGUCAUGAACACUGGGGGUCGACUUAUUGCUGGGUCUCACAACAGGAAUGAGUUUGUUCUGAUAAAUGCUGAUGAGAAUGGAAGAAUAAAGUCAGUGCAGGAACUGAGUGGACAGGUUUGUCAGAUAUGUGGGGAUGAGAUUGAGAU